UAAUACGGAGGGUGCAAGCGUUAAUCGGAAUUACUAGGCGUAAAGCGCACGCAGGCGGUUUGUUAAGUCAGAUGUGAAAUCCCCGGGCUCAACCUGGGAACUGCAUUUGAAACUGGCAAGCUAGAGUCUCGUAGAGGGGGGUAGAAUUCCAGGUGUAGCGGUGAAAUGCGUAGAGAUCUGGAGGAAUACCGGUGGCGAAGGCGGCCCCCUGGACGAAGACUGACGCUCAGGUGCGAAAGCGUGGGGAGCAAACAGGAUUAGAUACCCUGGUAGUCCACGCUGUAAACGAUGUCGAUUUGGAGGUUGUGCCCUUGAGGCGUGGCUUCCGGAGCUAACGCGUUAAAUCGACCGCCUGGGGAGUACGGCCGCAAGGUUA
This 376-nucleotide ribosomal RNA is filed under the name uncultured Serratia sp. RNAcentral's name for it is "bacterial SSU rRNA". It matches the Rfam family "Bacterial small subunit ribosomal RNA", at positions 521 to 896 of the family's 1533-position model. Lineage: Bacteria; Pseudomonadati; Pseudomonadota; Gammaproteobacteria; Enterobacterales; Yersiniaceae. The record is from RNAcentral.